AGUGAACGCUGGCGGUAGGCCUAACACAUGCAAGUCGAACGGCAGCACAGUAAGAGCUUGCUCUUACGGGUGGCGAGUGGCGGACGGGUGAGGAAUACAUCGGAAUCUACUUUUUCGUGGGGGAUAACGUAGGGAAACUUACGCUAAUACCGCAUCCGACCUACGGGUGAAAGCAUGGGAUCUUCGGACCUUUCGCGAUUGAAUGAGCCGAUGUCGGAUUAGCUCGUUGGCGGGGUAAAGGCCCACCAAGGCGACGAUCCGUAGCUGGUCUGAGAGGAUGGUCAGCCACACUGGAACGGGGACACGGUCCAUGCUACUACGGGAGGGAGCAGUGGGGAAUAUUGGACAAUGGGCGCAAGCCUGAUCCAGCCAUACCGCGUGGGUGAAGAAGGCCUUCGGGUUGUAAAGCCCGUUUGUUGGGAAAGAAAAGCAGCAGGUUAAUACCCCGCUGUUCUGACGGUACCCAAAGAAUAAGCACCGGCUAACUUCGUG
Molecule: ribosomal RNA, 492 nt
Filed under: uncultured bacterium
Lineage: Bacteria
Description: partial 16S ribosomal RNA
Rfam family: Bacterial small subunit ribosomal RNA
Source: RNAcentral